Molecule: non-coding RNA, 26 nt
Filed under: Rattus norvegicus (Norway rat)
Lineage: Eukaryota; Metazoa; Chordata; Mammalia; Rodentia; Muridae
Source: RNAcentral
UAACUUGUGUGUGUGUGUCUAGAGAA